RNAcentral lists this transfer RNA (87 nucleotides) under Colletotrichum falcatum. RNAcentral's name for it is "tRNA-Glu". It matches the Rfam family "tRNA". From Rfam's summary of the family: Transfer RNA (tRNA) molecules are approximately 80 nucleotides in length. The record is from RNAcentral. RNAcentral also lists the same sequence under 2 other names. Lineage: Eukaryota; Fungi; Ascomycota; Sordariomycetes; Glomerellales; Glomerellaceae.
UCCGAUAUGGUGUAGUGGCCAACAUGAUGCCCUCUCAUCUCGUUGAGAGGUUAGGCAUAGCCCCGAGUUCGAUUCUCGGUUUCGGAA